Molecule: ribosomal RNA, 494 nt
Filed under: uncultured bacterium
Lineage: Bacteria
Description: partial 16S ribosomal RNA
Rfam family: Bacterial small subunit ribosomal RNA
Source: RNAcentral
GACGAACGCUGGCGGCGUGCUUAACACAUGCAAGUCGAACGGUGAAGCGCCUUCCUUUUUGGUGGGUGUGGAUGAGCGGCGAACGGGUUAGUAACACGUGAGUAACCUGCCCCCUCCUGCUGGAUAACCGCAUGCAAGUGCGGCUAAUACGGGAUAUUCUGGGCCUGUCGCAUGAUAGGUCUGGGAAAGACAUUGUGUCGGUUGGGGAUGGGGUCGCGGCCUAUCAGCUUGUUGGUGUGGUAACGGCCUACCAAGGCGGUGACGGGUAGCCGGCCUGAGAGGGUCGACGGCACCGCUGGGACUGAGCCGCGGCCACGACUCCUACGGGAGGCAGCAGUGGAGAUUAUUGAACGAUGGGCGGCAGGCUGAUGCAGCGACGCGGCGUGGGGGAUGGACGCCGGCGCGUUGUGAACCGCUUUUGGGAGAGAAGCAGGGCUGCCGUGUUUGUGGGUGGGUUGACGGUAGCUGGAUAAGAAGCGCCGGCUAACUACGUG